AGGGGGGGGUUUCCUAUACAUGCAGUCGACGCGUUGGCCCAAUUGAUUGAUGGUGCUUGCACCUGAUUGAUUUUGGUCGCCAACGAGUGGCGGACGGGUGAGUAACACGUAGGUAACCUGCCCAGAAGCGGGGGACAACAUUUGGAAACAGAUGCUAAUACCGCAUAACAGCGUUGUUCGCAUGAACAACGCUUAAAAGAUGGCUUCUCGCUAUCACUUCUGGAUGGACCUGCGGUGCAUUAGCUUGUUGGUGGGGUAACGGCCUACCAAGGCCAUGAUGCAUAUCCGAAUUGAAAGACUGACCCGCCACAAUGGGAC
Molecule: ribosomal RNA, 318 nt
Filed under: Limosilactobacillus fermentum
Lineage: Bacteria; Bacillati; Bacillota; Bacilli; Lactobacillales; Lactobacillaceae
Description: bacterial SSU rRNA
Rfam family: Bacterial small subunit ribosomal RNA
Source: RNAcentral